AGUGAACGCUGGCGGUAGGCCUAACACAUGCAAGUCGAACGGCAGCACAGUAAGAGCUUGCUCUUACGGGUGGCGAGUGGCGGACGGGUGAGGAAUACAUCGGAAUCUACUUUUUCGUGGGGGAUAACGUAGGGAAACUUACGCUAAUACCGCAUACGACCUACGGGUGAAAGCAGGGGAUCUUCGGACCUUGCGCGAUUGAAUGAGCCGAUGUCGGAUUAGCUAGUUGGCGGGGUAAAGGCCCACCAAGGCGACGAUCCGUAGCUGGUCUGAGAGGAUGAUCGGCCACACUGGAACGGAGACACGGUCCAGACUCCUACGGGAGGCAGCAGUGGGGAAUAGUGGACAAUGGGCGCAAGCCUGAUCCAGCCAUACCGCGUGGGUGAAGAAGGCCUUCGGGUUGUAAAGCCCUUUUGUUGGGAAAGAAAAGCAGCAGGUUAAUACCCCGCUGUUCUGACGGUACCCAGAGAAUAAGCACCGGCUAACUUCGUG
RNAcentral lists this ribosomal RNA (492 nucleotides) under uncultured bacterium. RNAcentral's name for it is "partial 16S ribosomal RNA". It matches the Rfam family "Bacterial small subunit ribosomal RNA", at positions 29 to 507 of the family's 1533-position model. The record is from RNAcentral.